AAAAAAGUUGAAACCGAAAAUGAAAAUCGGAGUCUUUGAAGUGAUUUAGAUUUUAGAUUGGAUUCUUAAUGGAUUAAUUCAACGUUGUGGAUAAUAAAUUUUUGAAUCCUUGAUUGAUUUGGAACUUUUAUCGAAUUGGUACUAAAACUCCUACAAGUAUCUAAUUGUUUUACAACAAAGAGGAGGAGGAGGAGGAUCAUAAAACAGAAGGAAAAAUUCACCAAUUCGACCUAUGCUACCACCCAUCAUUGAUCUAGUCGCCAAAACAACCACAAGCUCAGCCAAAUAGACACCACUUGAAGCCAUGGACCCUGCACACAGAAACCAAAUCCAGUCCUCAAGAAACAACAAAUCGGCAAACAAUUUCAUAGAGAAACACUUACAACCAUUAGCCUAAACCACCCACCACCAAAAUCAAUCAACUAAGCAACACCCAAAAUCCAUAAUACCCGAAACCAGUAGACAAUUAAAAUACAAAAAUCAUAAUCAACCCAUAAAAUCAAUCAACUAAAUAAUACCCAAAACCCAAACCAGUAGACAAUUAAAAUAUAAAAAUCAUAAUCAACUCAUAAAAUCAAUCAAACUAAGCAAUACCUAAAACCCAUAAUACCCGAAACCCAGUAGACAAUUAAAAUACAAAAAUCAUAAUCAAAUCGUGAUUAACCCGAGGUUCAACGAAGCAAUACCCGAAACACAAUCAAGAUACAAAAAUCAUAAUCAACAUACAAAAAUCAUAAUCAACCCACAGAGAGGUCUUUCAGAGUACACAAGCAGAAAGCAAUACCAAAAAAGAAAAAAAAUCAACCCACAGAGAGGUCUUUCACAAUAACAGAGUAUACAAAAAAAAAAAAAAAGAACUCUGGCAGUAGCUUUAAGUUCUCAGUUCUGGCAGUAGACUUAAGGUCUCAGUCCUGGGUUUGGAGGGACUUUUUUUUCUGAGCUUUCGUAUAAGGCGAGAACAGUUAGCUCAGAGUCAACAGGCGAGGAACGAUUAACGAUUUACAAUGGAUUUUUUGGUACAAUAAAGCAGUGAUAAAAUGCAGUGGUGGUCAUGAUUUAAGUCGGUGGAGGUGGAGAGCGACGGCAGCGAUCGGCGACAUAGGACGAACGGCACGGCAUAAGGCUGACAGAAUUUGGAUCCUAUGCAUUUCCCGGUGUCGGCGCUUAAACGUGUAAAGAGAGGUUAGAGAAUUCUAGCCUUUAGAAAGAAAAAAGAAUAAUGCAAAAAUAAAAGAUAAUAUGUGGGUUUCAUAUUCAACGAAUGUGCAUUGGAAAAGAAAAGUAAAGAAGAGUCUUGAAUGUGCAUUGUAGAAGAAGUGUACAAAGGAGUUCUGGACCAAACUUGAACUAAAACCCGAAUGCGUGUUCUAAACCCGGGCCGAAUUGGAGCACAUUUGGAAAUAAAGACCAAGCCUAGUGCCAAACCUGGAUCUAUUUUGGACCGAGCAUUAAACCAAACUUUUGGCACUUGUCUUUCC
Molecule: long non-coding RNA, 1478 nt
Filed under: Durio zibethinus
Lineage: Eukaryota; Viridiplantae; Streptophyta; Magnoliopsida; Malvales; Malvaceae
Description: long non-coding RNA (DZIB_LNC000878)
Source: RNAcentral